UAUCUACUUCCAACAUAUGAACGACUGUGGCCCGUUCGAAUAAUUCGAUUAUUCUUAAUAAAUUCAAUUAUUCUGGAAGUCAAAACAUGCAAAUGUGAAACACAAGAAUAAUACUAAUCCCAUAUGGCCUCAAACCUUUGAGUAUAAAUAAAACUCCUUUUAUUUAUCACCAUAUCGAUUACUCAUUAUUUGUCGUUUCGGGUAAUCAACUUCUUACUUGAAUUAUUACACUUGUCCCAUGCUCUUAGCAUGCACACAAUGUUUACCUAUGGUUCUUACUUUUGUGAAAUAGAUCAAAUUGAACACAUUUCCAAUCAUUCUCAUUUCACAACUCCAAAUCCUUUUUCAUAAGUGUGAGAAUAUCAAAUUCUUGUUACUUAUAAAAUAUGCUAGAUUCUAACAUUCUAUGCAAUGAUCCUUUCGUAAUGUCACUGCACCAAAGUCACAAAGACUAUUGCCAAUGAUAUUACAAAGUCCUCUAUCGGAGAUUGUUACAAGACAAUUCCUUAGAUAUGAUGUCUCUCACUCAAAGUACAUUCCUUUGAACAUCCUUUUGCAUAAAAGUUUCUAAUCUAGACAUAGAUUUUCAAUAUUCAAUUCCCAAUAUGGACACGCUUCCAUAUUUUCCAUAUGACAACUCAUUCUUAAUAGAAUCUUAUCUAUUCGUAAUGAUGUCGAUAUGGUCCAUCCAAUAUGGAAACAUUUCCAUAAUUUCCAUAUGACAACUCAUUCUUAAUAGAAUCUUUUCUAUUCAUAAUAAUGUCGAUAUGGUCCAUCCAAUACCAUGCUUCCAACUACUCACAAGCGACCAAUCCUCGUCGAACUUUGGAUUGUCCUUUGAUAGUUGUUUAAUUAUUUUAGUCAAAACCAAUUCUAGUCCCUUUUCCCUCUAAAUGCGCUCGACAUUUGGAAAAUUUUAGAAUGGUCAAACAUUAAAGCAUUUGCAAUCGAUCCUAUACCCGAAGCGUAUGGGACACGACGCAUAAUGUUUUAUUUGCUAUGUUCUCAAAAUUCGAAUUGUGAAGAGGAAUGCCGUAAUCAUAAUCGAAAUUUUAAGAACACACUAUGUACCUUUGACUAAAUUUAUUAACAUUUCUCAACCUAAGCCUUUAGAUUUGAAAUGAAGCAUAAUAUUCUCUCCCUUAAUUAUAGCAAAACAACUUUACAACCCUUACGACUUUGCAAGGUAUAACUCUUGUUUUCUAUAAUUAAUAUUGCCAACUUGCAAUACGUGCCUUAAUAAUCAUACAAUCAUAACAUUUAUGCUCCCACUAUCAUGAUGAUUAUUAUAAAACAUAACACUUAUGCUCCCACUAGCUUCGACAUGUAUUCAUAAACAUCUUAACUUUCAGAAAAACAAUACUUAUUGAAUUUCUUAAGUUCAUGUUUCUAAUACUUAGUGCUUUGAUAAUCCUUUAUCAAUGCUUCUUGAACUUAUACACCUUUGCCUUCGAUAGUUCAUAUGUGUGUCUAAACAAUUAAGACUAAUUGCCAAACCUCACAAUUCAAAUUAUGGAAAGGGAUACCGUAACCAUAAUCGAAUUCGAGAAUGCAAUUUUACAAUCACUAUCUUCUUAAAAUCUUUCUUAGUGAAAGCAUUUCCUCACAAUCAUUUUCAUGAAGGAGGAAAUCUUAUGACACUUAGAUUUAAACGGUGUAUGUGUUCCUAUCCAUGUGAAUUUGUUAAAACCAAAGUUUACGACAAAUUCAAACUCAUAUGGACCGAACUUUCUUAAUCUUGAUUUCUUGCCUUAUGGUAGCACAGCUGCCCACCAUGUCUUCCAAGUAGUUAAGCAGCUCACCCUUUCCUAUCAAUGUACCUUUCAUUGAUUAAGGUGCUUUGCCUUUUAUGCGUUCAAAAUGAGAACUCAUAGAACUCACAUGCAUAAUUAACUCGAUUGGAUUGGCACAGAAACAAAAUAAUGUCAACACGAUAGGUUGUAAACCUCAACUCGUGUGCUAGUGAUGAUCGAUAAGGUUUAUUUGAUUUGUUCUUGAAACCUUUCAAGACCAUUAAGACUCCCACUGACUCCUUGACAUAUAAGAUUCUCUUGUCAAUAAACAUUUCUUGACAAACAAAUAUUCAAGAGUUAGUGUAGUUUUUAUCAAAACACUUCAUAAAUUGGUCCUAGUUGGUCUUUGUCUUAUCCAAGACAUCACAACUUUCCACAUUUGAUGAAUGUUAUAAACCUUCUUAAUACUUUUCACUCAAUGUCACAAUCUUAACUCUAAGACUUGUUUUGGAACGAAGUAUGAUUGACUUCUUGAUUUAACCAUUUCUUCAAUUCUUGAUUCCUCUUCUUAGACAUACAAUUGUACUAAGACUCACUUAGAGGAUCAAUUGAGAUAUGGUUCUUAAUCAUUAAGACCUAUCAUAAAGCAUAAAAGCUACUCUCCCUUCUUCUUAGAAUGGAGAAACUUUUAUCUUUCUGCCUACUUGAUUCUUCUUAUUCGUUCUGCUAUUGAUUUAAACUUUUUCAAUCAAUUCAGAAUUACACUUAAUCUUAUAAGUAUAAUCAUAUUUACUAAACCUUUAGUAAAUCAUGACGAAUAUCUUUGUUACUCUUAUGGUGGACUUGAUCAACACGCAACUUUGUGUACUCGAUCUCCUAGUCCUUCACUUGACACUUUGUCAAUGAAUUAGUCUAAUUUCCAAAUAUGAAAUUUCUCAUUCAUCGUGCAACCAAGUUGCAUGAUUCCAAGUUUCUGUCCAAUUGAAACUUGGGCGAUGAGAAACUCUCCCUAUUUGGUAAACUCUCGACUUUCCAUAAAUAACAUAAUAAGAACCAAAUCCAUUAUUGCUAAUAAUAGAAACAUUCAAACAUCAAUUUUUCAUAUACGCCAUUGCAAGGAUAAAUAAAUAAUAUAAAAUCAAAAUUUAUUUUAUUGCGGAAAAAAUUUGUCCUUACAAUGCAAUUCAUUGAAAAACUAUGCUAAUACAUCUUUCUUAGCAAUCUAAUUCUAACUCUAAGUAGUAGCUCAAGAAUCUAAUCUUCGAGAAAUGCGAUCGAAAUCCAUUCCUUCACGGUUAGAUUCUGCUCACUUCUUCCCUUAAGCUUCCUUUCUUUUCUUCGAUCCUACAAAACAUCAAUUGUAAUCUUAUCACAUUAUGUAUUAAGAAUCUAGAAUAGAAGCUUAAAAGAGUUAGUUAAUGGAUUUUACCUAUAUUAGAGCCAUACGUUUCGACUCUCCCAUCUCUUAGAUCUCUUAGGUAAAUGGGGCAGCUUCGUCUCCAAUGCCCUUUCUCUUGGCAAUAAAAGCAAAUUGACUCUUUUGGAACAUGACAUGGAACUACUUCAGACAUUGCCUUUCUCUUAUGAUCAAACUUUUCGAUCAUAGCAUGUCUUUCGUUGCCAUUGUCUAUAUCCAUAGAGGUCUUGAAGGCAGAUUCACCAAUCAACUUUGCUUUUCUAUUGCGCCAAACCAUUGCUGAUUCAGCAGCAAUAAGCAUAUAGGUGAGAUCUAUAAGGGUCACGUCGCGGUUCAUCAUAUAGUACUCUCUUACGAACUCACUAUAUGAGUUAGGAAGUGACUGAAGAACCCAAUCAACAGCCAUUUCCUCACAGACAACGGAUCCCAACAUUCUUAACCUAUCAAUGUGUGACUUCAUCCCUAGGACGUGUGCACACACCGACUUUCCUUCUUUAUGUUUACUUGCCAAAAGGGCUUGAGUGAUCUUGAACUUUUCAAGCCUUUGAACUUGUGGGUUAGGGAGAAUAAUUGGAGGAGGAGGAGGAAGUGAAGCAUGAUUUCUUGUUCCUCGAUCGAAUCGUGGAAUAUCAUCUUCAUGUGGAAUGCUUGUUCCACGGGAUUUGGGAAGACCAUAGUUGUCGAACUUUGACAUCUACAAAACGGGAGAAAACGAAUUCAAGUUAGUUGAUUGAUUGAGUCCUUAGUAAAUCACCCAAAUGAGAUACUAAGGCUAGGACCCAACACAAUAUUCUACAACUCGGGAGAGGGAUGCCGUAACCCUAAUUGCAGAAUAUUUGAAGGUAAGUGAAUGACGAUUCACUAAUUUCCACCAUGAAAAACGAAAAAGAAAUUUAAGUUUUAAAUCUAUGAAAACUCCUAGAUCCUUUGAGAUUCAUUGAACUUUCAAUGGCAUGUUUAAAUCUCGAUAUGCCCCUCUUGUUUGUGACUGGGAUGCCGAGGAUCACAAAGCGGGUGUGAAUAACCAUGCAAACUUACAUGGUGCCCUCACAUGUUACAGUCACCUAUUCGAUGUGCCGGUAAACCACACACGCUCCACCGAACUAUGACAAACAUUGAGUCACCCUUUGCUACCUUUGCUUAGAACCAUUUAGUGUGCCGGUAAACCACACACGCUCCACUAACGUCUUCGCAAGGGCACAAAGUGUAAUUUCAUGGAAUUGCAUCAAUUCACUUUUGCCUAAGUAACUAAGAUUGGGAAUUUUAUGAAAACAUUUAGUUACUUUAAUAAUUCAUUAUACUUAUAAUGGAAGGUUUCGUCCUAUCCUACCCGUUCGGCUAACGACCCUCCACUAGUCAAGAGUGCGGUGGGUAAGAGUGGAUACCCAUUCAAUCGCCAUUUUAUAGGCAAUUUCCUUAAACACCCCUUAUAGACCAGCUUCGUGAAUGAGGCCUACUAACGGUAAGACUGACUUUUACUCAUACAUAUAUAUAAUGUUAGACUUUUAAUGUUAUAUAUAGUAUAGGGUGUAUUUUAUACUUUCAAAAUACUAGGUGGUCUAAUUUAACAAUUAUACUUUUAAUUCAAUUAAAUUGUAAACCUAAACUUUUAUGGAUUUAUUAAACCUCUUUUAAUUAUACACCUUAAUUAAUUAAUAAAACCAUAAGGGUGUGAUUUGAACUUUUUCAAAACUAUACUAGAGUUUUAGAAUUUAACAUUCCUAAUUAAACUUUUAAUCAACUUUUAAAUUCCAAAACUUGAGGGCAAGUUUUGAAACAUUUCAACACAUUAGGGUUUAGAAUUUAAAUAUACAUCAAAAUUAAACCAUUUAAUCAAAAUUUAAAUUCCAAAACUUGAGGGCAAGUUUUGAAACCUUUUUCAAAACAUUAGGGUUUUAACUAUUUAAAUUUCAAAACAACAAAACUUUUGGGUUCAAAUUUAAACUAUAAAACCUAAAGGGGAAAAUAUGAAACAUUUCAUAACCACAAGGAUCAAAUAACAAAUAAUCUAAAUUAACAUUUAAUCACAUAAUUAUCCAUAUUUGAUUUAUUUAAUGAUUUCUUGCAAAACAAUUUAUCAAUUUAGUCAAAAUAAUUAAUCAAUUAUCACAUAAGGAAACAAUUAUCUUAUUAAUUGAUAAAUAUCUUCAAUUAGAUCAAGAAUAUAGUCAAAUAUAUCAUAAAAUCGGAUUUAUAUUGAUCUAAUAUGAUAAGGUAACUAUCCCAAAGCAAAAACAGCAAGAAAUCCCGAGAUAUGCUCCAUCUGACGAGUUGACUCGUCGAGUCAAGCUUGGACUCGUCGAGUCUGCAUGGACUCGGCGAGUCCAGCCUCCAGAAACCAAAAAAUCGAAUUUUUCAAACAUAUCAAGCAUCAAUACAAUAGAAACCAAUCUAGGCUCUGAUACCACUGAUGGGUUUUGGUCAUAAGACAUCCUAUGUGCUCAUACAAACCCUAAUGCUUGGAUCUAGGUUUCUCUAUUGUACAUGCUUUGAAUCCAAGACUAUAAACCCUAAUUCUAGCAUAUGGAAAUCAAUAUUAACAUAUAAUUAGGUUUAUGAUAUUACCUUGAUUGUUAUGUAGCAAUAACAAUCCCAAUUCCUCCUUGAAUUGACUUUGGAAGGCUUAGAGUCACAAGUGUCACUCCUCUAAUGGCUCACAAACACCAUAAGCAAGAGGAUGAAGAGGAGAGAGGAUGGAGGCUGCCCAAAACGUGUUCUAACCCUAGAAAAGAAGUUCCCCACGUUUUUGAGCCUUAAGGGUUCUAUAUAUAGUGAGGCUAUUAGGGUUAUCUAACAAGGAAACCCUAAUUUGGAUGCUUAAGCCCUAAGCAACCCAUGGAGCCCUUUCCUUAAGGCCUUGGACGAUUUCAUAUGGGCUUCCCCCAUAGAAUUCGUCCACCUUAUAAUAUAAGGCAAUCCAUGGCCCAAAUUGCAAUUAUCUUAUAAUUACAAUUCCAGUCCCUUAAGUUUAAUUAAUCUCUUUUAGUCACAAAACUAAUUACCAAUUAAUUCUUGACUAAUAUUAAUUAAACAAUAUGAUUUCUCCUUUAAUAUAUUAUUCUCAUAAUAUAUUAAUAAAUCAUAUUUAAUCCUUUCUCUCCAUAAUUCAUCCUAUCAAGUUGCUUUGGUGAAGGCAACCCAAAAGGACCAUGCACCAUCGGGUCAAGUACAUACCAAAAUAGUUAUGGACUUAGACACUAAUCCAACAGUCUCCCACUUGGAUAAGUCUAAUAACUAUUAUGCGUAUGACUUCAGAUCCUGAUCUGCAAUCGUAGCUUUCCAAAGCCGCUGUCAACUCUGAUCCUAUCAGAUACGCGUGUCCUUAGAUAAGGGAUCAUAUAUUCCUCCAUUCUAGAUAUCAUAUGAGAUAUGAUUUCAAAUCAUUCUCUUUGUACUAUAUCUCGAUUUCCGAUUUAUGACGACUGACUAAUUGAACAAAUCAAAUUAGCCCUAGCCCGGCCGAGCAUUUACGUUUGUCAUCACUAAAUCAUCGAGGGGCCCAAAGAUAUCGCUUUUAUCCUACUUUGGAUAAAAGGAACGGAUAAACUUUGAUUCAAUGCUCGCUUGCACUCACUCACCGAAUCACACACAACAAUAUGUUUUAUGACACCAAGUUACUGGUGCGUUUACAUAUUAUCAAUGUGCAACCGAUUUGCAAGAUACAACUCACACAUCUCGGUUUCAAGAAUAUAAGAUGUUAUCGUCUCACCAAUCACUCGUGAUACAAUUCAUGAAGUGAUCCAAGUGAGCGUGGGUUUAAUCCAAUGCUCAAAUCAUAUUCAUAAGCACUCAUGAACGUUGCAGCAAACAUUUGCUUAUGUCUAAUACUCUUUAGACAAUCCACACACCAAUUCACGACAGUCUUCAUUCAUACCUACUUCCAACAUAUGAACGACUGUGGCCCGUUCGAAUAAUUUGACUGUUCUUAACCAAUUAAAUUAUUCAGGAAGUCAAAACAUGCAAAGUGAAACACAAGAAUAAUACUAAUCCCAUAUGGCCUCAAACCUUUGAGUAUAAAUAAAACACCUUUUAUUUAUCACCAUAUCGAUUACUCAUUAUUUGUCGUUUCGGGUAAUCAACUUCUUACUUGAAUUACUACACUUGUCCCAUGCUCUUAGCAUGCACACAAUGUUUACCU
This 7288-nucleotide long non-coding RNA is filed under the name Lactuca sativa (garden lettuce). RNAcentral's name for it is "long non-coding RNA (LSAT_LNC003456)". The record is from RNAcentral. Lineage: Eukaryota; Viridiplantae; Streptophyta; Magnoliopsida; Asterales; Asteraceae.